GAUAAGCAUAUCAAUAAGCGGAGGAAAAGAAACCAACUGGGAUUGCCUUAGUAACGGCGAGUGAAGCGGCAAUAGCUCAAAUUUGAAAGCUGGCGUCUUUGGCGUCCGCGUUGUAAUUUGUAGAGGAUGCUUCGGCGAGGGCUCCGGUCUAAGUUCCCUGGAACGGGACGUCAUAGAGGGUGAGAAUCCCGUAUGUGAUCGGUUGCCUAAGCCAUGUGAAGCUCCUUCGACGAGUCGAGUUGUUUGGGAAUGCAGCUCUAAAUGGGAGGUAAAUUUCUUCUAAAGCUAAAUACCGGCCAGAGACCGAUAGCGCACAAGUAGAGUGAUCGAAAGAUGAAAAGCACUUUGGAAAGAGAGUUAAAAAGUACGUGAAAUUGUUGAAAGGGAAGCGCUUGCAACCAGACUCGUCCGCAGUUGCUCAGCCGGUCUCUUGACCGGCGUACUCUUCUGCGGCCGGGCCAGCAUCAGUUCGGGCGGCCGGAUAAAGGCCUCGGGAAUGUAGCACCCUUCGGGGUGUGUUAUAGCCCGGGGUGGAAUGCGGCCAGCCUGGACUGAGGAUCUCGCUUCGGCUAGGAUGCUGGCGUAAUGGUUGUAAGCGGCCCGUCUUGAAACACGGACCAAGGAGUCUAACAUCUAUGCGAGUGUUUGGGUGUCAAACCCAUGCGCGUAAUGAAAGUGAACGGAGGUGGGAACCCUCACGGGUGCACCAUCGACCGAUCCUGAUGUCUUCGGAUGGAUUUGAGUAUGAGCAUAGCUGUUGGGACCCGAAAGAUGGUGAACUAUGCCUGAAUAGGGUGAAGCCAGAGGAAACUCUGGUGGAGGCUCGCAGCGGUUCUGACGUGCAAAUCGAUCGUCAAAUUUGGGUAUAGGGGCGAAAGACUAAUCG
This 886-nucleotide ribosomal RNA is filed under the name Pseudofusicoccum adansoniae. Its description in RNAcentral is "partial large subunit ribosomal RNA". It matches the Rfam family "Eukaryotic large subunit ribosomal RNA", at positions 33 to 937 of the family's 3401-position model. Lineage: Eukaryota; Fungi; Ascomycota; Dothideomycetes; Botryosphaeriales; Botryosphaeriaceae. The record is from RNAcentral.